GCCGGAGUGGCGGAACUGGCAGACGCGUUGGUCUCAAAAACCAAUGGUUGAAUAAACCGUGAGAGUUCGAGUCUCUCCUCCGGCACCA
Molecule: transfer RNA, 88 nt
Filed under: candidate division WWE3 bacterium
Lineage: Bacteria; candidate division WWE3
Description: tRNA-Leu
Rfam family: tRNA
About the family: Transfer RNA (tRNA) molecules are approximately 80 nucleotides in length. Their secondary structure includes four short double-helical elements and three loops (D, anti-codon, and T loops).
Source: RNAcentral